This 497-nucleotide ribosomal RNA is filed under the name uncultured bacterium. Its description in RNAcentral is "partial 16S ribosomal RNA". It matches the Rfam family "Bacterial small subunit ribosomal RNA", at positions 28 to 507 of the family's 1533-position model. The record is from RNAcentral.
GAUGAACGCUGGCGGCGUGCCUAAUACAUGCAAGUCGAGCGAACGGACGAGAAGCUUGCUUCUCUGAUGUUAGCGGCGGACGGGUGAGUAACACGUGGAUAACCUACCUAUGAGACUGGGAUAACUUCGGGAAACCGGAGCUAAUACCGGAUGAUAUUUUGAACCGCAUGGUUCAAAAGUGAAAGACGGUCUUGCUGUCACUUAUAGAUGGAUCCGCGCUGCAUUAGCUAGUUGGUAAGGUAACGGCUUACCAAGGCAACGAUGCAUAGCCGACCUGAGAGGGUGAUCGGCCACACUGGAACUGAGACACGGUCCAGACUCCUACGGGAGGCAGCAGUAGGGAAUCUUCCGCAAUGGGCGAAAGCCUGACGGAGCAACGCCGCGUGAGUGAUGAAGGUCUUCGGAUCGUAAAACUCUGUUAUUAGGGAAGAACAUAUGUGUAAGUAACUGUGCACAUCUUGACGGUACCUAAUCAGAAAGCCACGGCUAACUACGUG